UCACUCGACUACCAUACCACAUUAGAAACCACUAGUGGCUUUUUAGUAAAUUAGCUGAAAUUUUGUUCAAAUACAUAGAGGAAACACUUGACACUGGGGCAUUGUACGAAGACACGAAUUAAGUAUUGUCGUAAAAUGCGGUACAGUGAAUUGAAGAGGGGGGCACUGAGUGACAAUGCAUCUGCCAGCCACUUGUCGAGACGUGUGUAUGAUCGGCUCAAGAUCAUAUCGACACAUAUGUCGCCAGCCAUGCUAUUCUGCAUAACAGGAAUUUGAACAU
Molecule: non-coding RNA, 280 nt
Organism: Caenorhabditis elegans
Lineage: Eukaryota; Metazoa; Nematoda; Chromadorea; Rhabditida; Rhabditidae
Source: Ensembl